This is a long non-coding RNA of Homo sapiens (human), 562 nucleotides long. NCBI's taxonomy places the organism in Eukaryota, Metazoa, Chordata, Mammalia, Primates, Hominidae. The record is from Ensembl.
CUUGUGUUUCUGUUCCUGUGGAGUGCAGCUGAAAUGACCGCUACUGCUCCUUCACAGUAUAUUUACAUGAGCUUCCUGUGGACAUCAGCACCAUUUAAAAUUAAGGCUGGAACACAGAUGUGGGGCUGGAAGUGGAGCAGCCCCUUUUAGCCAUGAGGCCCAAAGCCACAUGCUAAGGAUGGUGAAGCAGGGGAUAGAAAGAGCCUGUGUCUUUGCUGACUUCCUUAAGCCACGGCACCAGCCUGGGCCUGCCCUACUCUGGACAUCUAAAUGUGUAAGGAGAAAUAAACUUCAUUCGUUUUAUUACCACUGUUCUUGAGUUUUCAAUACAGGCAGCUGAAUGCGCCCCUAAGGGAUAGAUACCUAGUAAACCACAAGGGAAAAGACAUCCCAGAGUAAUGGGGAGAAGAUAAGCUGAGCCUGCCAAUGGGGUGGAGCACCAGAUAUCCUGUCUUCUAUUUCCAUUUCAAGUUUGUUCUUGUAACCCAAAGAAUACCAGUAAACUUCUUUUAGAGAAUUGUUAUGGAAAUCGGGUGAUAAAAUCUCUGUCUUCUUUUAAAAU